Molecule: transfer RNA, 73 nt
Organism: Daphnia magna
Lineage: Eukaryota; Metazoa; Arthropoda; Branchiopoda; Diplostraca; Daphniidae
Rfam family: tRNA
About the family: Transfer RNA (tRNA) molecules are approximately 80 nucleotides in length.
Source: Rfam
UCAUCGAUAGCGCAGUAGGCAGCGCGCGAGUCUCAUAAUUUCGAGGUCGUGAGUUCGAACCUCACUCGCUAAG